RNAcentral lists this long non-coding RNA (3926 nucleotides) under Capsicum annuum. RNAcentral describes it as "long non-coding RNA (CANN_LNC016682)". The record is from RNAcentral. Lineage: Eukaryota; Viridiplantae; Streptophyta; Magnoliopsida; Solanales; Solanaceae.
GAUGAGCUGGAGAAACAGGUGAAAUAGGUUGCUAAUAGGAGUAUUGAAUUGUGUCAACUACAUUUGUUACACUAAGCCAUAUUUAUAGACUUUACACUACAAUCCCUUUUCAUUUGCUAUCACUUAAUGAAGGUCUGAAUCUGAAUGGUUAAGAUAUCAUCCCAUUAAGUGCUUUUUAUUAACAGAUUCAACCUAUUAGUACAUCUUAAUGAAUCAGAUGUUAAACAAGUCUGAAAAUCAUUUAGAUCCUCACUAAAAAGUUCAAUUCAUUAGGUAAAAAAGAAAGUUAGUGCAUUACUAUGUGGGAAUAUACUGGGUUUGUUGUUGUUGUUGUUGUUGUUGUGCAUUAAGGAAUAGAACAUACUUGGUAGGAUAAAAGAAUGAGAUUGAGAUUUGAGAGUUACCCCUCUGCUUACUUUUUCUUUUUAAAUAACACAUAUUUUGUUGAGAUAAGAACAAUGACCGGUUCUUCCUAUUAAACAUCUGUGUUAUUUCUCUUUAUGCCAAUUAGUUUCCUUUUUUUUUACUGGAUAGUAGGUAUUUAGGCUGAUAGGAAUGGUAUUGUCGUAAACUUUUAAGUUAAGGGUUCCAUGCUUUUAAUGUAGUAUAGAUAUAGAUGAUUCUUUCAAUCUAGCCAAGCUGUAUUAAAUGCUACUUCACGGACAAUUGUAAUUGACUUCUCCUCUGUUGAAUGUUGUUAACGGUUAUAUUACCUUAAUUGUUAUAGUUUCUCGAGCAGAAUAACUCUGAGAAGUGAUCAUCAAACUUCCAUGUUUUCACGUAGUUUCUUUGACUUUCGAGGACUCCUUUAAAGUAUCACACAACCACUCCAUUGUGUUUCAGCUAAGACUACAUUUGUUUUUUUUAAUAUUCAGACAUUUGAAUCAGUUUGAGCGGACAUCUGAAUGGUUAAGAUAUUGUCUCUAGAUCUGAAAACUAAAUGAUUAAGGUUGGGUGUUUCUCAAUAUCUGAAUGUGCAAAAUUUAUUUAUUUCUAAAUAUAAAAUAAUUAUAUAUUAGAAAUUUUUUAAUUUAAUGCAAUUAAAUUAUUAUUUGAUUAAAAAAGAAACAUUUAUGUUUGUUAGUGAUACUGGAAAUGGUUUGUAAUGGUGGUGGUGGUUAUAAUAAAUUAAUUGAUAUUAGUGAUUAGCAAUGUUGGUGAUGCUAGUUGUGAUAGUAGAUAUAGUUGGCAUUGUAGUAACUUUCAUGAUAUUGGCAAUUGGUAGUGGUGGUGGUGGUUAUGAUGUGAAGUUGGUUAAUGUUAGUAGCUGGAGGUGUUGAUCGUGGUGAUGGAAAACUAUAUGCAUGAUGGUUGAUGAUGUGUUGGUGGUCGUUGGAGAUGCUGUUAGCUGUGAUAGUGAAAUGGUUAUUAGUACAGAUACUGUAGCGACUGUAGUGGAUAGUGGUGGUAGAGGUGGUGACGCCGGUGACAGUGGUGGUGAUGGUGUCUGAAUAAUAUGUGUAAGUUGAUUAUGUGUUAGUGGUUGUUAGCGAUGUGUGGAAGUUGAUGAUGUGUGGUGGUUAUUAGUCGUAGUGCUAGUUCUAAUAGAUGAGUUAGUUGGUAGUAGGGAUCGACCGGUAGCAAUUGAUGGUGGUGGCGUUGGUGGUAGGGGUGUUCAUGGGUCGAUAUGGGUCGGUUAUUGGUCAAAACCAUAACUAAACCAACUUAAUCGAUUUUUAAAUUUCUAAAACCAAACCAAACCAAACAAAAAAAUAACCAUCGGUUUGGUUCUUGCCGGUUUAGUUCAGUUUGAUUCGGAUUUUUUGGUUUAUAACUUUAGUUAAUGAUAAAAUUUGAAAAUUUUAUAAAACAAAUCCAAUCUAACAUAUGAGAUGUCAACCGAGUGUUGUAUCUCAAUCUUGAAACUAUGAUGUCAACUGAGUGUUAUACUUCGGCAAAGCCAUGAUAACGCCAUAUGAACGCUUUUAAAAAAAUAUUUAAAAACUAUAUUUAAUAGAAUUAUAUGAUAAACCCCCAAAAGGUGAGCACAUAAACUUCUUUCUCAACAAGGUUCAAAAGAAAGUUAAAAUUAGUGAUUGUGUAUAGUCUAAUGAAUUUCAGCUGUAAAUUUCAAUAUAUAACAAGAUAUUAUUUUUACAAUUAGUAUCAUUUGUCAUUCAAAAUAUGAAAUUCAUUUAGAAUCUCAUAAUGUAGUGUCAACUAGAUGAAGAAAUAUGACUGAAUGUGUUACGACUAAAGUUAAAUCAAGAUUAAAAUAUAAAAUGUAACAAAUAUUUAGAUUACAUUUAUGAAAAACAUAUAAAUAAUUAUAAUAUAUUUGUAUAUCGGUUUGGUUAUUUUGUCGGUUAUUUUAGAGUAAAACCAAACCAAACCAAACCAAAUUAGUAUCAGUUUAUUAAAAUUCAAAUCUAAACCAAACCUAAUCAAAUAUAGGUUUUUUUAAUCGGUUUGGUUUGGAUCGCGGUUCAGUUUGGUUAAAAACCAAACCGUGAACACCCCUAGUUGGCGGUGGAUAUAAUUAGAAUAAUGGAAGUGGUAGGUGUGGUAGCGGUUGGCAGUGUAGUUGGUACUGAUGUUGGUUGUGAUGGUGGAAGUGGUUGGUGGUGGUGACAGGUGAUUGUGGAUAGAGUGGUGGUGAAUUUUAUCCUACACACGAAUAUCUGUAAAUAAUAUUUAGACUUGGUUCCACAUCUGAAUGAUUAAGACCUACUCAGACCUAUUAAGAGCUAAGAUCCUAAUAAAAUCAAAUGCACUUAAUGGUUUGAGGUCUGAACAGGUUCAUAAAUCCAAUAAGUGCAAACAAAUGAGACCUGAAAGUAGUUUGUCUGUUCAAGUUUCGACCAUGUUUUGUCCAUUUGUACCACACCCCAGUUUUGAUUUCACUUCGGAUGAUAUCGUGCAACUUAAAACCCAAUUCAAAAUAUAUUGUGUUGUCAACCAUAUAAAUUGGAAUAAAUAAACUUAGUGCCAAAAUUCGCCUCUGAAGAAGUAGUUGAGAUGUAAUGAAAGUAAAGGCUUUGAAAAGAUUAACCUCGGAAAAAAUGCCUGAGAGCAUCUCUGUUUCUCUAAAUAAAGUUGUAUCUCCCUCACUAUGAUUUUUUUGGCCGUAGUACACACUUGCGACUUACCAAACGAUAUAUUGUUUCAUCUUCUGCCCUUUCUGAAAAGAAUUGAAGUUGAAUGAUCAAAUGUUAUUAGCAUUUAUCUCCUUGCUUGAUGAAAGAGGGAGUUUACCUAGUAUCCUAGCAUGUAAUGAUCCUGUUCAUAUUCUUAUUCAAUGAUUGAAUUUGGUAAUGUUUUCUUGAGUUAGGCUAUUGCUAUGGGAUGGUGAGAGUUAUACAUAAACUCCGAUGCUAAAAAUCUUUUCUUUUUCCCUUGUAAUUACUGUUUGUGUGCAUAAAUGAUUCUUAUUAAGUAAAUAUAACGAAAGCGCUGUUAAAAGAGAUGCUAUCCAUUUUUAUUUAUUCAUUUUUUUCUAUUAUCCAAACAGGGGUGGUUGAUUUUUCCUUCAAUUUAACCUGAUCAGUGCAAUUAAGUUUAUGUGUCAAGUGUCUUGUGAUAUUGUAGAUGACUUUGAACAAGUGGAGAAAUGUUGGUAUUCAUGAAAGAAAUUUCAUCCCCAUCACCCUGCUUGUAAUUUAUAGACUUUAUGUUAACUUAAAUGUAUGGACAAGGCUCCAUUUGGUAUCCUAUUUUUGGUACUGAUAAGCAUUCUGAAUUUGUGUUACUUGUAUGUUGCUUCAGUAUCUUGAUGACAAGUCACAAAUUAAAGAUGCAGUUAGGAUGGUCGAGGUAAUCACCACUCUUCAUUUUAACCUCUGUUGUGCUUCGGUUAGUACCUAAUAUUUUGGCUGAGCCAUCUCUACUUUUAGAUUGGAUUGACAUCAGCCUGGACGCUUGAUGAUUUUAAGGUUGCAAUCGCCAAGUAUAUUAGCUCUCCACCAAUGUCAGAUACCAACUUAAAG